Long non-coding RNA from Eucalyptus grandis, 300 nucleotides. RefSeq lists it as uncharacterized. The record is from RefSeq and is a predicted model, not a curated record. The transcript has 3 exons. NCBI's taxonomy places the organism in Eukaryota, Viridiplantae, Streptophyta, Magnoliopsida, Myrtales, Myrtaceae.
AAAAGGAGAGAGCUAUGGCGUUCCUCCUCAGAAGGGGCAAGCAUGAAGAACUUUUGUCAGGGAGGCAUCAAAUCAGUUCUUUCAUGUUUAAAAAGUUAGGCAGGAUUCAAACUCAAACAAGAUACUGCACCUGAUUUCUAGCUGGAAAGGUCAAGGAAGGAUUGAUGAUAUACUGGCUUUUGUUUAGCUAAUUCAAGCGGUAAACAGAACAAGAAAAACUCUGGAGGGUAAAGUCGAAACGCCAUGCAUGGACGUGGGAUAAUACACCACGGAGGAUGGGAUUCAGAAAAGGACAUGAAU